Peromyscus eremicus (cactus mouse) is the source of this 1831-nucleotide long non-coding RNA. RefSeq lists it as uncharacterized. The transcript has 2 exons. Lineage: Eukaryota; Metazoa; Chordata; Mammalia; Rodentia; Cricetidae. The record is from RefSeq and is a predicted model, not a curated record.
AUUUGCUUAGGGGCUGGAGAGAUGGCUCUGCGGUUAAGAGCACUGACUGCUCUUCCAGAGGACCCAGGUUCAGCUCCCAGCACCGACAUGGCAGCUCACGACUGUCUGUAAUUCCAGUUCCAGGGGACCUGACACCUUCACACAGAUACACAUGCAGGCAAAACACCAAUGAACAUUAAAAAAAAAAAAAAAAAAAAAGGUGGGGUGGUGGUGGCAUACGCCUUUAAUCCCAGCAGAUCUCUAUGAAUUUGAGACCAGCCUGGUCUACAGAGCAAGAUCCAGGACAAGCACCAAAACUACACACAGAAACCCUGUCUCGAAAAACCAAAACAACAAACAAAACACUAAAAGUAACACAUGCUCAUUGUAAGAGUUUAAACAGAGUAAAAACACACCUUGAAUGACACACCUCUUCUCAGGUGAUCAUCUAAGCAUUCUGGAUCAUAUAACCUUCACAUCUGUCUAUGCUCACACAUGGUCCGUAAUACUGAGUACUAUGGUAUCAUAGUAUGUAGACCUCUGUAACUUGUUCCUUCAACAUUGAUGGGCAGUGAAAUUAUUAAUGUAGUGAGUUACCUUAGGGUAGGAGAGGGAAACAUUAAAAUCUUAGAGGUGCUAUUACAUUACAAAACUAAAAUCCAACUUAAAGGUGGACACAACAUAUACCACUAAUCAAAGGCUGAAGCAGGAGGAUUUUGAGUUCAAGGCCAGCCUAGGUUACACAGAGAGUUCCAGGUUAGUCAGGGAUACACACACACACAGAGAGAGAGAGAGAGAGAGAGAGAGAGAGAGAGAGAAACCCUGUUCUUUGUUUUAGUGUGUGUGUGUUUGUGCAUGUAUAUGUGUAUUUUAAAGAGGUAUAAAAAAAAGACAGUUUUUUGCGGGUGGUGAUGGUGCACGCCUUUAAUCCCAGCACUCAGGAGGCAGUGGCAGGCGGAUCUCUGUGAUUUUGAGGCCUGCCUGGUCUACAGAGUGAGUUCCAGGACAGCCAGGACUGCUUCACAGAGAAACCUUGUCUCUAAAAAUAAAAAAUAAAAAAUGCAGUUUUCUGACUUUAGUCUCAAAUUUUAAUCCGUAUACAUAAAACUUUGUAAUCUACUCUCUAUUAGAAAAAAAAAAAAAAACCAUUCCCAUACUGUUUACUGAGAAAACAAAAGACAACCCUAACAAGCUGUUCAGUGAACUAAAAUGUUCAUUCUUUUCUCUCUUUCUUUUUCUUAAAGACAGGGUCUCUCUAUUCAGCCCUGGCUGUUCUGGCACUUGUUCUGUAGACCAGCCUGGCCUUGAACUCACAGAGAUUCUUACUUCUCCCUUCAGAGUACUGAGACUAAAGGUGUGAGCCACAUUCUGCCAAAAUGUAGUACUAUUAAAACAUUUCUAUCUCGGCAGUAGUUAUCAAGAGAGUAUUGAGUACACUCAUCUCUCCUUGCUUCUAUCUGUCCUCACAGAUCAACUCUAGGUCACACACCCUGUCGCUCCAUGCUAUCCUGCUACAUACAGGCUCAUGCUACCUCCCUAUUUCCCUACCUAAAUGUCAACAGAGUUCCCAGGAAGAGAUGGGGCCUGUGGAGUGGAGAAGCCACUGUGUCUCCUGGAAACCAAAUCAAGUGUUUCAAGAAGCUAUCACCGGAAGAUCACAUUCAUCACAGCUGGCAGUUGGUCUGGGACAGAAAGCAAAACCUUCUAGUUGCAUUCGAAGGUCUACACCCAGGAAAGUACUCCAGCAGUAAGGAGGCAGCAAUCCAGUACAUCUUACACCAUAACUACAAAUUACUUUGAAAGUGCUUACCAGUUUAUUUUAAAAGUAAAAAAUGGUCACGAAACACACCAA